CCGUUACAGGCUAGACCGCUUGAAGUGCUUUGGGAUAGAAUUUAACAUAGAAUUUAAUAUGUUAAAUUCUAUCUUAAAGUGCUUUGGGCGGCUAGUCUGUAACGGGUAUAAGACAAUCUGUCUCCGCUCUAGGGAAUAUUCGCUCCACAAUAAUUACUUUUUAAAUGUUAUUGCUUGUAACCUUUUUUUUUUAAUCCAUCCUCAUACUAAAAGUUUUUCGUCAAGAUUCAGUUAUAAACUAAUGAGUGUAAAUUUCAUUUACAAUCAAAUUGUUUGGUGAGUCACUUCAAAUGUUCUUGUGGGUCACUCAUGACCCAUGGGUCAUAGGUUGCUGACUCCUGGUAUAAUGGGCAAAGAUUUACAUAUGAAAAAAUAUAUUGUACAAACUUAGCAACUGCAGUUUUUAGUAAAUUUAAUAUAUAAAUUUUAAAAAUGCUAAAUUUCAAAUAAAAUGUUAAUAUAGAAUUUAUUAAUUUUCAUACACUAUUAUUUUAUCAUUUCUGC
This 504-nucleotide long non-coding RNA is filed under the name Androctonus crassicauda. Lineage: Eukaryota; Metazoa; Arthropoda; Arachnida; Scorpiones; Buthidae. The record is from RNAcentral.